Molecule: ribosomal RNA, 199 nt
Filed under: Phialophora verrucosa
Lineage: Eukaryota; Fungi; Ascomycota; Eurotiomycetes; Chaetothyriales; Herpotrichiellaceae
Description: partial large subunit ribosomal RNA
Rfam family: Eukaryotic large subunit ribosomal RNA
Source: RNAcentral
AGUAACGGCGAGUGAAGCGGCAACAGCUCAAAUUUGAAAUCUGGCCUCUCGGGGUCCGAGUUGUAAUUUGUAGAGGAUGUUUUGGGUACCGCCCCGGUCUAAAUUUCUUGGAACAGAAUGUCAGAGAGGGUGAGAAUCCCGUCUUGGACCGGCGGUAGGGCCUGUGUAAACCUCCUUCGACGAGUCGAGUUGUUUGGGA